This 510-nucleotide ribosomal RNA is filed under the name uncultured Bacteroidota bacterium. RNAcentral describes it as "bacterial SSU rRNA". It matches the Rfam family "Bacterial small subunit ribosomal RNA", at positions 56 to 563 of the family's 1533-position model. The record is from RNAcentral. Lineage: Bacteria; Pseudomonadati; Bacteroidota.
UGCAAGUCGGACGGGAUUUGGGAGCUUGCUCCCGAUGAGAGUGGCGCACGGGUGCGUAACACGUAUGUAACCUACCUUGAUCAGGGGGGUAGCCUCUCGAAAGAGAGAUUAAGACCGCAUAACAUUAAGACACAGCAUUGUGAUUUAAUCAAAUAUUUAUAGGAUCAAGAUGGGCAUGCGGAACAUUAGCUAGUUGGUAAGGUAAUGGCUUACCAAGGCUACGAUGUUUAGGGGAUCUGAGAGGAUGACCCCCCACACUGGUACUGAGACACGGACCAGACUCCUACGGGAGGCAGCAGUAAGGAAUAUUGGUCAAUGGGCGGAAGCCUGAACCAGCCAUGCCGCGUGCAGGAAGACGGCCCUACGGGUUGUAAACUGCUUUUGCAGGGGAAUAAACCUCCCGACGUGUCGGGAGCUGAAUGUACUCUAAGAAUAAGGAUCGGCUAACUCCGUGCCAGCAGCCGCGGUAAUACGGAGGAUCCAAGCGUUAUCCGGAUUUAUUGGGUUUAA